GACGAACGCUGGCGGCGUGCUUAACACAUGCAAGUCGAACGGAAAGGCCCUGCUUUUGUGGGGUGCUCGAGUGGCGAACGGGUGAGUAACACGUGAGUAACCUGCCCUUGACUUUGGGAUAACUUCAGGAAACUGGGGCUAAUACCGGAUAGGAGCUCCUGCUGCAUGGUGGGGGUUGGAAAGUUUCGGCGGUUGGGGAUGGACUCGCGGCUUAUCAGCUUGUUGGUGGGGUAGUGGCUUACCAAGGCUUUGACGGGUAGCCGGCCUGAAAGGGUGACCGGCCACAUUGGGACUGAGAUACGGCCCAGACUCCUACGGGAGGCAGCAGUGGGGAAUAUUGCACAAUGGGCGGAAGCAUGAUGCAGCAACGCCGCGUGCGGGAUGACGGCCUUCGGGUUAUAAACCGCUUUCGCCUGUGACGAAGCGUGAGUGACGGUAAUGGGUAAAGAAGCACCGGCUAACUACGUG
Molecule: ribosomal RNA, 468 nt
Filed under: uncultured bacterium
Lineage: Bacteria
Description: partial 16S ribosomal RNA
Rfam family: Bacterial small subunit ribosomal RNA
Source: RNAcentral